GCCUUUAAGGGCCGCUGGGGGCGUGCUAGCCGCAGCCGCGGGCGCUCCGAGAGGUGAGCUCCGAGGCUCCCCGGCGGUGCGGCUCCGACUCGGGGGACUGGGCUGCGCCGCGACCGACCUCCUCCACCUCCUCCCCCGGCACGCGGGCCGGCGGGCCAUGCGCCGCGGACUUUGACUGGCCCCGGCGCGGCUCGGCCAUGGGCAGCUUCCAGCUGGAAGACUUCGCGGCGGGCUGGAUCGGAGGUGCAGCCAGUGUCAUCAUCGGCCACCCUCUAGACACAGUCAAGGUACUGCAGCCGUGUUUGUCAUUACUUCUUGGAAAGUGGCCUGGAGUGAGUCUGCCUCCAGGAAUGUGUCUGCUCUUUCUUUUCCCAAGACAGUCUCCAGCCCAGGGCAGAUUCUAUAUGCCAAGCCAGGGGUGGGGUGCCAAGAGGCCUGGUUUGGAAUCAUCACUCUCCUCUCAUGACUUGGCAGUGAUUGUGUUUUUGUGAAGCCCCAUUUCUGCCCCCAGGUGCUCGUGGGCUGUGGGGGGGAGGCGGGGGCAAGGAGAGGGUAAGUAAUCCUAUUGGUCUCUGUGGAACUAAGGAUCCAGGAGGGGCUUCAGGUGCAAAGUGGCAUCUGAGUCCAAGAUUUAAGGUUGGGUUUCAGGUGAUUAGAAAAGAUGUUCCUGGCUCAGCAGCAAGAGCUAAGCAGUGAGAUGGGGACACUGUUUGGGGGGCGAUGCUUGGGAAAAGCCAGCGUGGCUGGUUUGGUGAUGCAUCAGACUUCUGAAAGCUGCUAUAGAUCAGAAUCCAGGAAAGGUGGUCAUUGCUCAAUCCUGGGAGACCUUCGCUGUCAGAGUAGGACUGUGGACCUGGGGCAGCCCGGGUAGCUCAGCGGUUUAGAGCCACUUUCAGCCCAGGGCGUGAUCCUGGAGAUCCAGGAUCGAGUUCCAUGUUGGGGUCCCUGCAUGGAGUCUGCUCCUCCCUCUGCCUGUGUCUCUGCCUCUCUCUCUGUCUGUCGUGAAUAAAUAAAAUCUUAAAAAAAAAAAAAAAGGACUG
This 1040-nucleotide long non-coding RNA is filed under the name Canis lupus dingo (dingo). RNAcentral describes it as "lncRNA (ENSCAFG00020007207.1)". Lineage: Eukaryota; Metazoa; Chordata; Mammalia; Carnivora; Canidae. The record is from RNAcentral.